This 125-nucleotide small RNA is filed under the name Marmota monax (woodchuck). Lineage: Eukaryota; Metazoa; Chordata; Mammalia; Rodentia; Sciuridae. The record is from RNAcentral.
GCCGGGCCCAGUGGUACAGGCCUGUAAUCCCAGUGGCUUAGGAGGCUGAGGCAGGAGGAUCUUGGGUUCAAAGCCAGUGUCAGUAAAAGUGAGGCUCUAUGUAACUCAGUGAGACCCUGUUUCUA